AAUAAGUGCAGCCGUAGAUAUCCGUGUCCAAUAUUUGACCGUCCGUCUUAUUUGAAAAAUUUGUGAAAAAUUUGAAAAUAUUUAGCAAUAAAAAUAUUAAUCAUAAAAAAGUUUAAAUAAAACGAAUGGUCAAAUGUUGAACGUGAAUAGUGUAAAACUGUACUUAUU
Molecule: microRNA precursor, 168 nt
Filed under: Oryza glumipatula
Lineage: Eukaryota; Viridiplantae; Streptophyta; Magnoliopsida; Poales; Poaceae
Description: MIR812 microRNA precursor family
Rfam family: MIR812 microRNA precursor family
Source: Rfam by way of RNAcentral